UACGUAGGGGGCAAGCGUUAUCCGGAUUUACUGGGUGUAAAGGGAGCGUAGACGGCGAUGCAAGCCAGAUGUGAAAGCCCGGGGCUCAACCCCGGGACUGCUUUUGAAACUGAUAUUCUUGAGUGAAGUAGAGGCAAGCGGAAUUCCUAGUGUAGCGGUGAAAUGCGUAGAUAUUAGGAGGAACACCAGUGGCGAAGGCGGCUUGCUGGGCUUUUACUGACGCUGAGGCUCGAAAGCGUGGGGAGCAAACAGG
This 253-nucleotide ribosomal RNA is filed under the name uncultured Blautia sp. RNAcentral describes it as "partial 16S ribosomal RNA". It matches the Rfam family "Bacterial small subunit ribosomal RNA", at positions 524 to 776 of the family's 1533-position model. The record is from RNAcentral. Lineage: Bacteria; Bacillati; Bacillota; Clostridia; Lachnospirales; Lachnospiraceae.